AUGUUGAACCUGAACUUCUGGAGUUUUGAAGACACGAUAUGUUCGUUUUGUUUGUUAAUUGUUAUAUCGAUGAUGAUGUCAGAUUUGUCAGCUCCCAUUCUGAGCACCUGGAUUGAAUCAAAAGAGAAGGAUUUUGAAGAGAGAUACGAUCAAAUGUUCAACAUAAAUAAUAAGGUGAGCUCCUUGGAUGAGCUUUGUAGUUUCCACGAGCUAUUUUUGCAGUCUCUAGAGUUAUUUUUCUCGCCGCAGUACUGUUUUAUAAGAAUUCUGAAUUUAAUUUCCGAAAUCAAAAGUAUUCGUAGUACUUUUGCAUUGAGCAUUUGA
Molecule: ribosomal RNA, 324 nt
Filed under: Triticum aestivum (bread wheat)
Lineage: Eukaryota; Viridiplantae; Streptophyta; Magnoliopsida; Poales; Poaceae
Description: partial small subunit ribosomal RNA
Source: RNAcentral